Molecule: long non-coding RNA, 3575 nt
Organism: Ictalurus punctatus (channel catfish)
Lineage: Eukaryota; Metazoa; Chordata; Actinopteri; Siluriformes; Ictaluridae
Source: Ensembl
AAAAGAAAGAAGAAAAAAAAAAGGACAGAAGGGGGAAACAACUUGUUGAGGCCUACUUGACAGGAGUUGAGAAUCAAGAAUCGGCGUCUUAAUGGGUGAACUAAUCACAUCCACAGCUAAGCCAUCUGUUCAGAUAAGAAAAGAAAGACUACUGAGAGUUUCUGCAAGCGUCUGUGCUCAAGCUUCUGAAUAAGUCUGUGUUUAUGUGUGUUCAUUAAAAGGGCGAGGAAAUACAGAUGCAAAAUAAAAACAAGAGAAGUACAGAGACAGAACAACAGGACGAGCUCUCGUUAGGUAAAGUGAGAGGCUGCAGGGGGAAGGGCCUGAUGCGGAGUGGCGAAUGAGCUCGGCGGUCGUGUGAGGUUGGCACAGUGCCAUCCACUCAGCGCUGGCGCUAGCGAGCGAGUGUAGGCACGCGGGCAUCAGUGAGAGGAAGGGAGGAGAGACAGAAAGAGAAAGAGUCGUCAACCAGCUGCCAUCACUAACAGAGAAGUGAUUUGUGAGGUUGAAUGAUGGAAGGAAGUUGGGAAAAGUUCAAGAUGGUUCCGGAUUUCAUCCGACACUAAACAACAUCGUAAGUGACAUUGCCAGAUUGCUUCAGAAUAAGUACUAGGAAGAUGUUUCCAUCUCCAUCUAUCAUUUCGUCUCUCCUCACAUGGUCUGCGUGCCAUCACGGUUCCUCGCCGCAACACGCUAACACAUAUCUCUGGCGCGUGGCGUGGUUGCAUCCGUAGGUAUUUCUCUGCGCAUCUUUGUGUUGGCACCUCGCAUUAGCACUUGCUAAUGUUCGGCGGUGUGCCAGGAUCUCCGCUGUGCCGUCUGGUGCUAGAAUCAUGGCAUCGUUUCAAGAAUGGCACGGUGCCAGCGUGUCUCCGCAGCGAUGGCUCCUGACACGAGUCGCUUGGCAAAGACAAAGAGCCCGAGGGACAAGAAACAGAAAACAAAAGAGCGACAAACACUCUGAUCCGACAGCUUAAUUAACACCGGUGGAGUUUGUUGGGUUAAUUAGGGUGACAGAUUUGGUCGUGAUGGAGGAAUGUGGCAGCAACGAGUGGGAGAAUAAAAACGAUGGGCGGGUACGGAUCAGUGAAGGAAUUCCGCCCGAAUGCCAGGACUUCGAGUCGAGCGAUGCCCUUGGCAGUCUUGUGCCAACGCUGUAUAGUGCAUAUUCGAUAGAGGGAUAACGCUGCAUCAUUGGCAGCUCUGUUAUGAUGCUGGUUUAUGGAAUAUGGGAACAGUUUAAAAAUGGGGGAGGAGACAAAAGCAACUGGGAGGAGAACCAGGAAGGCCUUGGAUUUAUUACACAGCAGUGAUUCAGCAAAAAUGGAGCCAUCAUGUUUGAAUGACUGCACUAUAUAUAUAUAUAUAUUUUUUAAUAAUGGAUUGUGGAUGGACUUCUGUGGUAGAACAUACAAAUGAUUAUCAAGAAAUGUCCAGGAUGGACAGCAUGGAGGAUCUGGACUCAUUAAUCCCUUCAGGAGAGUUACUUUGGGACAUCUAAGAAGUUCUCAGGGUGUUCAUCAUGGAUAAAGCCUCGAACGUACUUUGUGAAACCAGACGUCUUUGACCACCUGAUGAACUUGUGCUUAGGGACACAAUGUGAACUCUGAGAUCCUCUGAGAUCCUCAAUCUGGAUGUUUGUCAUGGUUUUGGCAUAUGAAUAAUGCACAUUUCUUCCUCUCCGCCUAUCUCUCCAUCCUUCUCUCAUCUCUGUACUCUCAAAAGGGAGGGAGUUCCAGACAUUUAGGCUUCAUGUCAGGAUGUUGCAUUGGCAUCACCUUCUCACGUCCAUGGUUUGAGGGCAACGGCUGUCAGAGGCGAACAAUUUAUUUUGGGAUUUGCAUUGUUUGUCUACGAGAUCCUGCUCGAGGCGACUCGAAAAACAGACAUUAACAACCUGGCGAAAUUAGCGAACUCGUUCGUCACGCCUGAAAUGUCUUUUCUUUUCUUUUUUUUUCUAGGUAAAGCGUUCGAGCAGGAUUUAAGCGUGGAUAUGCUAAUCUUGUCGCAUUAAUGAGGUCCGGAUCAUCAGUGUUCUCGUCUCAGCUCGGUUGGGGAUCUUAAUUUCUCCUCAUCUUCAUUAUGCAAAUGGAUUUAAACAGGGAAAAAAUGGACCAACAAAAAAAAAGGGAAGGCUGCAGUCAAAAGAGAGACAAGAGAUCGUUUAGGGAGAGAUGAAAAUGGUGCUCAGAAUGGUGGUUUUUAUGCUCUGACUUGAAGCACAGGCGAAUUUUUCUCGUCUAUUCAGGAGUCCCAACAUGGAUGGAGAAUAAAUCCAGAGGAUAUUGUACUCUCUUAUCCCUCAUCCCACCGCACCCCACCCCAUCCCACCCUGGAUACGACUGUUGCACCAGUUGUGUGAUAAAGAGACAGAACAGAAGAUGGAAUUAACCAAAUUAAAAGGAGGGAGAGAAUGGUUAAUAUCCUGUGCUUAAUCAUCGCACAUGAGAUUGGCUGUAUGCAUGUCUCAUUUGCAUCUCAUUAAACUGCACCUGCUGAAAGGGGGAGGAGAGUGAAGCUGCUUUGUAAUAGAAAUAAGGCAGCUCUUAUGGAGAUAUCAGUUGUAACUAAAAUGCAUCAUCUAAAUUCAUCUAAACUGUGCUUCUUUUUUUCUUUUUUUGUCCAUGCCAAAUCAAUUUUAGGAUCUUUAUAUUUGUUCGGGAUUCAGAUUAUUGUUGGUUUUUUGUUUUGUUUUGUUUUGUUUUUUGUUGUAAGCUCUUAAACCUGUGCCAUGAGACGUCUAUUCUGUAUAUGCUUAUGCUUAUGCUUAUGUAAAGGAAAAGAAUGAUUUUGCCUUCCACAAAGAACAAAGAAACCAAAUAAGUUGCCUGUAAUCAUAUCAAGGUAUGAUAAUUCCACAUGAAAUUUUAUGUUAAGGAGAUGUAAAACCCCUGAUGUGUGGUUUGUGGCCACUGCUUUAAUGUAUGCGUGAUUAGUAUGCAGCUCAGUGCGUUCUUUAAUAGAAGUCCGGGUGAACACUAUUGUCUCUAAUACUAAAAUGUGCCAUCUGCCUGGCUGCUGAGGCUGGCCUUUCUCUUUUGUGAUGAACACAAUGGGCUAUUCUGCAACUGGACGUCCACACAUAACUAAAAUAAAUCAUGCCUCGCUCUGCAGGCCUGAAACAACCAGUGCAAGGAAGGGGAUCUCUGAUAAAGCAUGGGACUCAUGUAAAUAAUACUGAUGGUGAUAAUAAAAAAGGAAUACGAAUCCUUGUCUUGUAGUUAUUAUUAUUCCAAAAAAACAAACCAAAAGAAAUGCGUCUUGUUUUAAAAUGCAUGCAUGCACGUCUUCAAACCUCACGUCUAAAACAAAGGAAUGACCAAGCAGCAGUUGUGACCUUAAUGUAAUUACGCCCUGACGGAUGUAUUUAAAUGUGUGUGUAAACAAUGAGCUGGGAGAAGUGUGUGUAUGAUAGAAACGUCUGCAUCGAUUACCCGCUAUGAAUGUGAGAUGUUUAAUCUCGUUAAAAAAUCUCAUGCCUAAAUUAGACUCCCUCAGCAGCUUUUUAAAUUGGGCUAUCCAUCAUGCAUAAUGAAGAAGUGACAGUACGUGCAUGUGUAUAUGAGAUGGAAAGG